GGUCUGAUGGUCUAGUGGUAGGAUUCUCGCUUUGGGUCGAACGUCCCAUACAAAGGAGUUCUUCAUUGCGAGAGAUCCCGGGUUCAAUCCCCGGUCAGACCC
Molecule: non-coding RNA, 102 nt
Organism: Hypoxylon sp. FL1150
Lineage: Eukaryota; Fungi; Ascomycota; Sordariomycetes; Xylariales; Hypoxylaceae
Source: the annotation of a GenBank genome assembly